RNAcentral lists this small nucleolar RNA (106 nucleotides) under Gossypium hirsutum (cotton). Its description in RNAcentral is "Plant small nucleolar RNA R71". It matches the Rfam family "Plant small nucleolar RNA R71". Rfam says of the family: R71 is a member of the C/D box family of snoRNAs containing the C (UGAUGA) and D (CUGA) box motifs. Multiple nearly identical copies of this snoRNA have been identified in Arabidopsis, and it is thought to function as a 2'-O-ribose methylation guide for 18S ribosomal RNA. The record is from Rfam by way of RNAcentral. Lineage: Eukaryota; Viridiplantae; Streptophyta; Magnoliopsida; Malvales; Malvaceae.
AUCCCAUGGUAAGGGUAAUUUCGUAAUAACUUUUUUACCUUUCCCAUGCCUCAUACAGGAACUCAUCAUCCAUUUGUUGGAAGGCAGUGAUCUCAUUCCUCAACUU